RNAcentral lists this ribosomal RNA (287 nucleotides) under uncultured bacterium. RNAcentral's name for it is "partial 16S ribosomal RNA". It matches the Rfam family "Bacterial small subunit ribosomal RNA", at positions 775 to 1067 of the family's 1533-position model. The record is from RNAcentral.
GGAUUAGAUACCCUGGUAGUCCACGCUGUAAACGAUGAUCACUCGAUAUUGGCGACAAACAGUCAGUGUCUAAGCGAAAGUGAUAAGUGAUCCACCUGGGGAGUACGAUCGCAAGGUUGAAACUCAAAGGAAUUGACGGGGGCCCGCACAAGCGGUGGAGCAUGUGGUUUAAUUCGAUGAUACGCGAGGAACCUUACCAGGGCUUAAAUGCAGAACGACCGAUCUGGAAACAGAUCUUUCUUCGGACGGUUUGCAAGGUGCUGCAUGGUUGUCGUCAGCUCGUGCCG